Molecule: long non-coding RNA, 6377 nt
Organism: Grus americana (Whooping crane)
Lineage: Eukaryota; Metazoa; Chordata; Aves; Gruiformes; Gruidae
Exons: 2
Source: RefSeq, a predicted model, not a curated record
UGGAGAGUGCAAACAACAAUCACCCUGUGCCUUUACUUGGUGUGUCAGGAAUACUGUGGUGUCCUUGAAGAGAGAAGUAUGAAAGGAAGCAAUUGAGGGUACAGCUGCCUGGUGUUGGAAGCUGAUCUGAAAUCCGUGUUAGACUCCAACCCUCGUGGUGCUCCUGCCCGCCCCCACCUCAUGACAGCACUGUACCACCGAGCAAUCAGACACAUUGCGGAUUGUUCUGCUAAAAAUCAAUUAUUUUCCAGUGGGUUUGGCUUUUAAUAGGAUGAAGUCCAUGAUCUGGCUGACCACAGUGAAGAAUCUGGGAGUUCUCAUCUGGGAGCAAAGAAACGGGAGGAGUUUUCUCCUUUCAAUGGCAGUCCAGCCUUAGGUGAUGAAGCCAUGGCUCUGAGACAAUUCAGCAAACCAAUUGCAGUAUUUGGCCUGAGUACUUUGCUAAAGAGACACAUUGGAAAGACAAGACUGCAGAAGAGGUGCUAAGAAAAUACAUCUGCCCUGAUUUGCAGUCAGCCUAGAAUCUGCAUUGUAUUCCCUGUGCUCUGAAGGGGCACUCAGCAAGGCAGAGCAUUUUAUUAGUAUAUGAGAAAGAGGUUUAUAUGGGAAAGGUGUUUCUUUCCUAGACAGAAAAAUAUUAGAGAGAAUGCAGAUUCACUAAUAUCUGCAUUGCAGCAGACAGGUGCAAUGAUUUGGGACCACCCAUCUUCAGUUUGGAUUAAAAUUUGACCCAAAUACUUCCUUAAAACAUCUGCUAGAAACUGUGCUGAGUUUCUGUACAAUGUAAAAAAAAAAAAAAAUUAAAAAAAUAAAAUCACAAAAUAUUAGCACUCAUCUGGCCAUAUUAACUAUUCCCUUAUAACUUAAUAUUUAGUGUUGCAUAUAUAAAGUCUAACACUGCAAUAAUAAAUCUUCGCACUAUAAAUACACUGACUUGCAAGCCCUGACGUUUUAAAAGCACAGUUCUAUUCUGAGCUGGAACAAUAUGUUGUCCUUGGGAGCCUAUUUUAAAGCUUUUCUUUCGGUACAGGUUUUCUUUGCUCGAUGUUUUGUCACCAGAAUGUAAUGCUCCUACUGACAGUGGCAGCAAGAGCAGAGAAGGGUUUUUUGCACAGAAGGUUUUUUGUUUGUUUAUUUGCUUGUUUGUACAUAUAAACAUCAUUGAAUGCCUGCAAUUUCAUUUGAAGGACAAGAAGAGGUCUUCAGCUCCUCACACAAGCUAAGUGCUAGAAAAUUGUUGUACUUAUAGUAUGUGCCUGUCUGCCCACUCAUCUCUUACUCACUUUUCUUGUCUUUAAUCAGACCCUGUUGUUACCGAGUAACAGUUUCCUCUGCUGGAGUUAAAAAAAAAAAAAAAAAAAAAAAGGAUAAAAAACCCCUGCUGUAAAUUAUUAGCACUCCAGGAUUCUUAGAUAAUACUGUUUCCCUUUAAUUUCAUAUUACCUCCCAUUCCUCAAACAACGCAGGGAAUAAGAAAGAAAAAGAUUUUUUUACAGGAAAUCUCUUCUUACGUAGCGCAGUUGCGUGAGCAUGGCCGGGACGUGUGUACCAUAGAGGUCCCAGAUGCAUACAGUCAACGUGCCUCCAGCUGGGAGCUUCCUGCAAACCCCAGGGAAAUGCCACCUGCAUGUUAAGCAGGCAAGGCACUCCCUGGAGAUUGCCUCUCCAGCUAGGAUUUCUCCUUAACGAGAAGGGGGGAGAAGGAAGGGUUCUGAAUUAUAAAGGCAGAAUGGGAAGCCCCUGAAGUGACAAAAUGCUGAAUUAUUCAUUGUGCAGUUUCUAAUUGUUCUUGAAGUUAGCGGUGCCGUUUGUAGCUAAAUCAGCUCAAUGUUGCUGUUUUCCCCUGCUCUCCCUCCUUCCUUAGGACUAGAGAAGGGAGGGAGAAGGAAAGACCUCCCUGAAAUGCUCAUAUCAGCCCUGCUGCAGCGCUUGUCGUGCGCUGAGCCAGAACUGAGAACCAAAUGCACGCUGAAAACUAAAUGUUGCCAAUUAUUCAUAGGCAUACAUUAUAAUCUCAAUUCUGAUAUUUAAUAGAGUUUCUCAUUAAAGGUCACAGCAAUUGCUGCUAGAGAUCAGACGAAGCUAACCUGGUGUCCUAUUUUUCACAGUGGGUAGCUGGCAUUAAGUGCUUCAGAGACAGCAGCAAGAAACCCAGUGUUGGACAAUUAUGGGCUAAACUGUCCAUGAGGAAAAUAUUUUCCUGUCCUUCAUGAGCUAGUGGCUGGACAACGCCUGGAUGCAUAGUGGUGUGCAUACCAUUAAAGGAAGAGAAUCACAAUUACGCAUGGCAUUAUCCAGAUUAACCUGCAGUUCCAGUUUGAAUAUGACCGAAGUCUUGGUCACAGUGACAUCAGACAAUAACAGCUCAUUCCAUAAACUAAAAAAAAAACAAAAGAAUAAAUUACAUUUCAGAUUUUUUUUUCUUUUUUUUAAAUUUAUGUCUGUUACGCCCUACAUAAGUAGAACAGCUAAUUAGGGCCAUCCAGUUGACAUUGUCUUUGCCUGUCAUUAUUAUACGUGCCUUCAUCAUUUCACAUCUUGAAACCAUGUUUCCCCAUCUAAAUUAAACUAUUCCUAAUCAUUGAAUCCCACAUUUCUGUUUUCUGAAUCAUUUCUGUCAUCUGGCUCUGAAUUCCUUCUGUUUUUACUGUAGCCUUUUGAGAUGGGAAGAUUAGGACUCAUUGAUUCAUGUAAUGGCAUUAUACAUGCUAACAUGUUGUUUCCUUUUUGACCACCAAUGCAGAAUGAGCAAAGGUCAAUUAAUCUGACACCACUGCUUAUCCUUUCAAUCAAUAUUCCCUCAUUGUUUCCUUGUUCCCCCACAUCUGCCUGUCUGUUAUUACACACGGAUUGCAAGGUCUUUCUGGCUGGAGACUUUUUACUCUAUCUGUGUAACGCAUGAGCACAGCCGCGGCCCAGGCAGGGUCUGGAGGUUCUGUUGCAAUAUAAAUAGUUAAUAUACAAAUGGCAAAUAAUAAAGGGUUCACAUUGGUGCCCUAGGUUUAUAUUCACUUUUUUUUUUAUUUUUCCCAGAGUGACUUCAGUUAAUUUAGAACCCAGUAAUGUGUAUAAAUCAAAUUAUUUACUGGAAUAUGCAUUACUUAGCAUUUAUCUUUAUUGAAUUUCAUUUGCCGUCAAGCCGCACAUCCAAAUCGUUAGAUUCCCUAAAUCUAUUAAAUAUAAAGACACAGACAUGUCUUCUGUCUUGGGAAGUGUCUUUGCUGCAGAUAGCUAGAAGCUAGGAGGAUAUACCAAGGGAAGUAUUAAUGUUUGCCCUUCUUCUCAGUAUGCUCUUUCCCUAUAUGUUUGCUAUCAGAAAUGGGGUACUGGACAAAGCUGAUCUAUAAUCUGACCCAGUAUAGCUGUUUUUAUGAUCUUAGGUCUUCCUGCAUCUUCCUGAGUUGGUUAAUGUUAGUACCUGUGGCAUAUACAGACUUUGUCACCUCAUUUCUCCUUCCUUUUACGUCAACAUUUUUAACCGUAUAUAAAAGAAAUGAAAGGUCAGGCAACAUCACUUUUAAUUUUUUUUUUCUUGAUGAAAUUUGAAUACCUUUUCUACCCCUUACCUGGUUUUUAAUCUAUGACAUUACUUUUCCUGAAAACCAAUCGUUAUUUAGUUCCCUAAAUUCUUCCCAUGUGGGAUUUAGCAAACACUUUGAAAAUCAGAUAAAAUGUUUCCAACUUUGGUUUGCCUACUAUUUUGUUUACAUACACUGGGAACUCUCUGGGAUCAAAAAACCAUCAUAUUUAUCUGUGAAGUCAAGAUUGUUUAUCUUGUGCACACCAGGAAGUUUUAUAAAUUAUAUUUUAAUUACUAUUUCAGUCAAUGUAUCUGUGAUUCAAAGAAAACUUGUCAGUAUUCAGUGUUCAAGAUCUUUCUCAAAGCAAUUUUAGUUAGAUAGAGUUCAGCCCCUCAAACACUCACACAGCCUUUAGGAUUCAGAACUACGAAAGACUUUAAUGAGACGUUCCAAACCUCUGUUAUACACUCAGCAGCUUCACUCCCAAACUCCAGAACUCAGACACACACACCAUCCUGUGCUCGGCAGCUGCUGCUCGUCAGUCCAUCAAUCUGCAUGAGUGCCUUUGUUUCUAAUAGUACCUGAUCUUUAUUAUUUUUCAAGGGGCGAUCCGCUGCAAGGGUAGCAAUCAUUUAUCUUCCCUGUAAUGUUCUUUUUAAUUGCUUCUCCCUGAUAUUCAUGCAAACCUACCAAUUAACUCUCUAGAAGCUUUCUUGUUUACAGUUUAGCACAAAAUGUUAUUUAUUUUUUCUCUAUUUAGCUAUUUGCUAUUCAAAAUCUAUCUUACCAACUCCGCCUUUUCAUCUUCUGUUUUAUGUGUGACAUUACGUGAGUUCCAUACUCGGAAAGACAUCUGUUUGACUGGAGCAAUCUCAAGAGCCUUGCCUGGUACCCAUGCUACCCUCCCUUCCAAAACAGAGGCACCCAAACUUUUGACUACUUGCCAGCGCUGUACACUGUUUGCUGUUUAAUACCUGUAGUUGCUGCACAUCCAGCAUGGCCUCAGGAUCCCAGGAUUGUUAGUUCUCAGUACACAAGAGUGGGUUCAGCACUGAAGAGCCAUAUGCAAAGGCUGUGCCUCAGAGCUACAUGCUAACACACAAUCACAGGUGAUGUUCUACCCGAAGAUCCAUGUACUCAGAUAGGAGAUCUCCAAGAAAUGACUGGAUAAUUUCAGAAGUAAUACAUUCUAAUCACUAAUGACCACUUUUUUUUUUUUUUUCUUCUUUUUUUUUUUCAUCUAUUCAUGCUGGAUUUUCUCUGCCCAUGAUAAAGGAGACUUUUGCCAUUCCCUUCAGUAGUGGGAAGGAAGAACCCUAAAACAGUAUUAAUUCAAAGUGAACAGAAAAGAGCUUUGUUUCUGAGUCUAAUGGUAUCUAUCUCAGGACUUUCCAGGGCUCGUUUAAUAAAAAACUUUUUAGAUACCUUAGAAAUUCUGUAAUUAAAAAUUAAUUAAUUUCUUACAGUUAUUAUUUAAACAUUUCUGUGUCCACCAAACUAUACCUGUGACAUAUUUGAGACAAUAAAUAUCAGUCCAAAUGAAAAUGUUCAUAUAUUUCUCAAUCAUUUACACGAUACAGAGCUAGGUAUACUUAAUUGAGUACCAUGAUGAUAAUGCAAAACAAAAAAUAAAACAAACAAACAAACAAAUCCCAAGUUGUUUCAUGUGGUAAAGAAAGCAGUUUAUUAACAUCUACUUACAUGUGCAUUUUUUUAACCUUGCCCUAGUCUAGGGAAUAGCUUAAUGAUACCUCAUUCUAAACCACACACACACACACACAAAAGUUCUUAACUGAUAAAAAACAGCAAAAAUGUUCCAGAUAGAGACUUGUACUGUAUAUUUUAUAAAAUUACUUUCUUGGUCAUGUCACUGAUUUUUCAAUAAUUUAAAUGCUCUCAGUAAUGAUGAAGCAUUUAUAGUUGUUGGAGAUCUGACAGAUUAAACCCCUCCUUUCUGUUGCUCAGUUCCUUUUUUUAUAAUGGUUCAAUACUUCAAGCUCGAAGGCAUUGGAAGCCUUGUAGGACAAUGGGUAUUUUAAAAAUACUUUGCAUAUGCCAUCCACAAGCAUUAAAUUGCAUAUCAUUCAAAUGACAAUCUAUAAUGUGUUAACAGUUCUAUAAGACAUUCAGUGAAGAUUUAAAAACUGUAUUGUGAUUCUUUCAAAACAGAUAGCAUUUUUGUGGGUUUCCAUGCUUUUUGUCAUUAUUGAAGCCGAUAACCUUGUCCAAUAUAUCUGCACUAAAUUCAUUAUAUGUCAUUUCCACUCCAUAUCUUCAUCCAGUACUUAAUGCUGCUCUUUGCAAUAUUGCCAGCAUUACCAAUGUCAUCAUAUUUUUAUGUAAGUUAUACUGACAGAUAAUGACCUCAAUUAAGCAAACAGGAAAACAUGAAAAGAACACCAUGAUUAGAUUAAAUAACCAUGGUAAGUGAGUAAGCGAGCAUCCCAUACCUAAAUCAAAGGCUUCUGGCUGUUCUGACAGAAUCAAACAUGAAAGCAUUCCUGUCAAUAAAUAUAACAAGUUUAGUGUAUUGGCAGGUAUGUUUUGCAGAAAAAGGUAUACGAGAUCAAAUUGUAUCAGUAUCAACUCAGUAUUGUGACUCCAGUGGUGUCUGUUAUCAUCUGAUGGAGAACUGAAGAAAAAAUAUUGGUAAUAAUUUAUGAAAGGGAAAGCAGAAAAAAAUUGAACAAUUAUUAGAAGUUUAUACAGUAUAAAGAUUUAUAACUCAUAUUUUGUUUUUUAAAAAAUUUUUAUAUUUACAGUUCAAAGAUUAUCUUCCUUUACACUUCAUAUUUUCCUUUUAAAAUAUGUAUGCUUAUAGUUGUGAUACAUAUAAAUAAACUUUUCAAAAUGUCA